UUUUUUUAAAUGAAUAGGACACUUUUUAUGGUUUAGAGUCCCUUUUUUGGAGCAUGAAAAGCAAGCUUCUCACACUGAGAAUCGAUUAUGAGCAAAAGGCACAGAGUCAAGGCUCUCACUUAAGUAUAGAGGGGUGAAACCGGAAUUCGUGCUCCAAACAUAACAAAAUGGUUGAUCGAUAUGUUUGGAAACCCAUUACUUUCUUCUAUCUUGGAAAAGCUAAAGAGAGAAGCGUAUAGAGAAACAGAAGACGUCUGUGGUUGCGAGAAGAUUCAUCACCUACCAUCGACGAGAUCUGCUUAUUGGUUCGCCUAUGUGCUUGCGAGGUCUGCAUCUGUGCUUGCGAGUCGCCAUUGUGCUUGCUGGUUCGCGACCUAUUUUCUCCCUUUUAAUUUGUUAUUAUGGAAUAAAAUAGAACCAUGACCUUCCCAUUUGGUUAUUAGGAAGGCAUUUUGGAAAUUGAUUCGCUAAAAAGUAAUGAGUAGCUUCUACUUGGAACAACUAUAGCCUUGGGUUGAUCCACUUUGCAUGGAUGUUAAGUGUAACAACGAUGUUGUUGUAAUUUCUAUUAUGAAGCAUUACUUGUCAGUACAAGCUAGCAUGAAAAGAGAGGUUUAGCCUUUAAUUGGCA
Macadamia integrifolia is the source of this 631-nucleotide long non-coding RNA. RefSeq lists it as uncharacterized. The transcript has 2 exons. The record is from RefSeq and is a predicted model, not a curated record. Lineage: Eukaryota; Viridiplantae; Streptophyta; Magnoliopsida; Proteales; Proteaceae.